Molecule: ribosomal RNA, 567 nt
Filed under: Candida tropicalis
Lineage: Eukaryota; Fungi; Ascomycota; Pichiomycetes; Serinales; Debaryomycetaceae
Description: partial large subunit ribosomal RNA
Rfam family: Eukaryotic large subunit ribosomal RNA
Source: RNAcentral
CCUUAGUAGCGGCGAGUGAAGCGGCAAAAGCUCAAAUUUGAAAUCUGGCUCUUUCAGAGUCCGAGUUGUAAUUUGAAGAAGGUAUCUUUGGGUCUGGCUCUUGUCUAUGUUUCUUGGAACAGAACGUCACAGAGGGUGAGAAUCCCGUGCGAUGAGAUGAUCCAGGCCUAUGUAAAGUUCCUUCGAAGAGUCGAGUUGUUUGGGAAUGCAGCUCUAAGUGGGUGGUAAAUUCCAUCUAAAGCUAAAUAUUGGCGAGAGACCGAUAGCGAACAAGUACAGUGAUGGAAAGAUGAAAAGAACUUUGAAAAGAGAGUGAAAAAGUACGUGAAAUUGUUGAAAGGGAAGGGCUUGAGAUCAGACUUGGUAUUUUGUAUGUUACUUCUUCGGGGGUGGCCUCUACAGUUUAUCGGGCCAGCAUCAGUUUGGGCGGUAGGAGAAUUGCGUUGGAAUGUGGCACGGCUUCGGUUGUGUGUUAUAGCCUUCGUCGAUACUGCCAGCCUAGACUGAGGACUGCGGUUUAUACCUAGGAUGUUGGCAUAAUGAUCUUAAGUCGCCCGUCUUGAAAAA